RNAcentral lists this unclassified non-coding RNA (295 nucleotides) under Hevea brasiliensis (rubber tree). Lineage: Eukaryota; Viridiplantae; Streptophyta; Magnoliopsida; Malpighiales; Euphorbiaceae. The record is from RNAcentral.
GGCGCACGUGACCAAUGGCUUCAACUUCCACUCUAAACUCUUUUUCCGCUUGGCCCACAUUAUUCAGAAUCUUUUUCACCGCCACUGGAGUGCCAUUGAUCAAUUGUCCCUGAUAAACAACUCCAUAUCCACCCUCCCCAAGGACAUUGUCCUUCGAAAACCGUUUUGUUGCCAGCUCAAGAUCCCUCAAUGUGAACCAGUGACCCCAACCCAAGUGCGAGAACUCUGGCAGGCCACUUAGAGGAGAAGGAGCAGUAAUAGGAUAUGAAGAAGAAGGCUUGUAUACCGUUACUGU